GAGUUUAGAUACAUGGCUUCAACCAGCAACCAGAAGAAAUUAGUCAUGACGCAAUAAUGACAAAACACCACCGACGCCUUACAUGCCGCCUGCGGAGAGAGAGGAAGAGAAAGAGAGCGACGCUGAGAAUGAUAAACAGGGCAUGACGGCAAAAACACAAGAGAGGGAGACUUAAGCAGACGGAGAAAGUAGAAACUCAGCAGGACAUAAAAGAAGGAAACCACAUUUAAAGGCUGUUAGAUCAGUGGCGUUGAUGGACUCACCGUAGAGAGCGUGCAGUGAUCUGUGUCGUCACUGGAGAACAGUGUAGCAUCUUUGAUAAACACAGCCACCGAUUUCAGGAUGAAGUGCAGGCCUCAUGGUAAGGAGGGAACGGAUGUGACCAGCCGCCAGCCGUGCAAUUACGACUCACUAUACCUACAGUAAUGAAUUAAAG
Labeo rohita (rohu) is the source of this 436-nucleotide long non-coding RNA. RefSeq lists it as uncharacterized. The record is from RefSeq and is a predicted model, not a curated record. The transcript has 3 exons. NCBI's taxonomy places the organism in Eukaryota, Metazoa, Chordata, Actinopteri, Cypriniformes, Cyprinidae.